GAUGAACGCUAGCGGCAGGCCUAAUACAUGCAAGUCGGACGGGAUUGGAGAGCUUGCUUUCCAUGAGAGUGGCGCACGGGUGCGUAACACGUAUGUAACCUACCCAUAUCAGGGGGAUAGCCUCUCGAAAGAGAGAUUAAGCCCGCAUAAAAUCACAUCACAGCAUUGUGAAAUGAUCAAAUAUUUAUAGGAUAUGGAUGGGCAUGCGGAACAUUAGCUAGUUGGCGGGGUAACGGCCCACCAAGGCGACGAUGUUUAGGGGAUCUGAGA
This 270-nucleotide ribosomal RNA is filed under the name uncultured bacterium. RNAcentral's name for it is "partial 16S ribosomal RNA". It matches the Rfam family "Bacterial small subunit ribosomal RNA", at positions 28 to 297 of the family's 1533-position model. The record is from RNAcentral.